UACGUAGGGUGCAAGCGUUGUCCGGAAUUAUUGGGCGUAAAGAGCUCGUAGGCGGUUUGUCGCGUCUGCUGUGAAAAUCCAGGGCUUAACCCUGGACCUGCAGUGGGUACGGGCAGACUAAAGUGCGGUAGGGGAGAUCGGAAUUCCUGGUGUAGCGGUGAAAUGCGUAGAUAUCAGGAGGAACACCUGUGGUGUAGACAGCUUACUGGACCACUUCUGACGCUGAGACACGAAAGCGUGGGUAGCAAACAGG
This 253-nucleotide ribosomal RNA is filed under the name uncultured bacterium. RNAcentral describes it as "partial 16S ribosomal RNA". It matches the Rfam family "Bacterial small subunit ribosomal RNA", at positions 524 to 776 of the family's 1533-position model. The record is from RNAcentral.